AACCAUAUGGUGUAAUAAACACGAUAAAUUGCAAAUUUAUAGAUUAUAGAAUGGUUA
RNAcentral lists this transfer RNA (57 nucleotides) under Caprella scaura. RNAcentral's name for it is "tRNA-Cys". The record is from RNAcentral. Lineage: Eukaryota; Metazoa; Arthropoda; Malacostraca; Amphipoda; Caprellidae.